RNAcentral lists this RNase P RNA (338 nucleotides) under chicken gut metagenome. RNAcentral describes it as "Bacterial RNase P class A". It matches the Rfam family "Bacterial RNase P class A". From Rfam's summary of the family: Ribonuclease P (RNase P) is a ubiquitous endoribonuclease, found in archaea, bacteria and eukarya as well as chloroplasts and mitochondria. Its best characterised activity is the generation of mature 5'-ends of tRNAs by cleaving the 5'-leader elements of precursor-tRNAs. Cellular RNase Ps are ribonucleoproteins. The record is from RNAcentral.
UAAGCCAGAUAAUCGCAGGUACAAAUUCGAAAGAAUGUACAUGAGGAAAGUCCGGGCUCCAAAGAGCAAUGGUGCUGGGUAACUCCCAGUGAGGGUAACCUUAAGGAAAGUGCAACAGAAAAUAACCGCCUGCAUGCAGGUAAGGAUGAAAAGGCGAGGUAAGAGCUCACCAGCAAUAUGGUGACAUAUUGGCUGUGUAAACCCCACCUGGAGCAACACCUUAAAUGGAAGAUUAAAACUGCUCGUUGCCUUCCACCUAGGUGGCUUGAGGUAUAUAGAAAUAUAUAUCCUAGAUAAAUGAUUAUCAAAUACAGAACCCGGCUUAUAGGCUUACUUCU